Molecule: ribosomal RNA, 457 nt
Filed under: uncultured bacterium
Lineage: Bacteria
Description: partial 16S ribosomal RNA
Rfam family: Bacterial small subunit ribosomal RNA
Source: RNAcentral
AACGAACGCUGGCGGCAUGCCUAACACAUGCAAGUCGAACGAGACCUUCGGGUCUAGUGGCGCACGGGUGCGUAACGCGUGGGAACCUGCCCUUAGGUUCGGAAUAACUCCCCGAAAGGGGUGCUAAUACCGGAUAAUGUCUUCGGACCAAAGAUUUAUCGCCUUUGGAUGGGCCCGCGUUGGAUUAGCUAGUUGGUAGGGUAAAAGCCUACCAAGGCGACGAUCCAUAGCUGGUCUGAGAGGAUGAUCAGCCACACUGGGACUGAGACACGGCCCAGACUCCUACGGGAGGCAGCAGUGGGGAAUAUUGGACAAUGGGCGAAAGCCUGAUCCAGCAAUGCCGCGUGAGUGAAGAAGGCCUUCGGGUUGUAAAGCUCUUUUGUCAGGGAAGAAACAGCAGCUCUAACACAGUCUGCGAAUGACGGUACCUGAAGAAUAAGCACCGGCUAACUACGUG